RNAcentral lists this ribosomal RNA (460 nucleotides) under Streptococcus anginosus. Its description in RNAcentral is "bacterial SSU rRNA". It matches the Rfam family "Bacterial small subunit ribosomal RNA", at positions 51 to 484 of the family's 1533-position model. The record is from RNAcentral. Lineage: Bacteria; Bacillati; Bacillota; Bacilli; Lactobacillales; Streptococcaceae.
AUACAUGCAAGUAGGACGCACAGUUUAUACCGUAGCUUGCUACACCAUAGACUGUGAGUUGCGAACGGGUGAGUAACGCGUAGGUAACCUGCCUAUUAGAGGGGGAUAACUAUUGGGAACGAUAGCUAAUACCGCAUAACAGUAUGUAACACAUGUUAGAUGCUUAAAAGAUGCAAUUGCAUCGCUAGUAGAUGGACCUGCGUUGUAUUAGCUAGUAGGUAGGGUAAAGGCCUACCUAGGCAACGAUACAUAGCCGACCUGAGAGGGUGAUCGGCCACACUGGGACUGAGACACGGCCCAGACUCCUACGGGAGGCAGCAGUAGGGAAUCUUCGGCAAUGGGGGGAACCCUGACCGAGCAACGCCGCGUGAGUGAAGAAGGUUUUCGGAUCGUAAAGCUCUGUUGUUAAGGAAGAACGAGUGUGAGAAUGGAAAGUUCAUGCUGUAGACGGUACUUAACC